Hippopotamus amphibius kiboko is the source of this 439-nucleotide long non-coding RNA. RefSeq lists it as uncharacterized. The transcript is spliced from 3 exons. The record is from RefSeq and is a predicted model, not a curated record. NCBI's taxonomy places the organism in Eukaryota, Metazoa, Chordata, Mammalia, Artiodactyla, Hippopotamidae.
GGCAGCAAAGCACGGCUGUUAGUAACCAGCCUUCACACCACUUGCCCGAAUCUGGUUGAGCUUUUCACCAAGAAAACUCUAUGUGCAAUUGGGGAACCCGAGCCUUAGAGGUGAUGAGUUAUUUCAACAAUUAAAAAAUGUAGAGGGCUUCCCUGGUUCCGAAUCCACCUGCCAAUGCAGGGGACACAGGUCCGAUCCCUGGGCCAGGAAGAUCCCAGAAGCCGCAGAGCAAAUAAGCCCGUGUGCCACAACUACUGAGCCUGAGCUCUGGAGCCUGCAAGCCACAACUACUGAGCCCAAGCACCGCAACUACUGAAGCCCACAUGCCUAGAGCCUGUGCUCCACAGCAAGAGAAGCCACCGCAAUGAGAAACCCGCCCACCACAACUAAGAGUAGCCCCCGCUCACCACAACUAGAGAAAGCCCAUGUGCAGCAAUGC